Molecule: ribosomal RNA, 410 nt
Filed under: Spiraphiline kurilokamchatica
Lineage: Eukaryota; Metazoa; Mollusca; Gastropoda; Cephalaspidea; Philinidae
Description: partial 16S large subunit ribosomal RNA
Rfam family: Archaeal large subunit ribosomal RNA
Source: RNAcentral
AGCCCUCAGAAAAUUAAUUUUGGGUGAAGCCUGCCCUAUGACUUAAGUUAAAUGGCCGCGGUACUCUGACCGUGCUAAGGUAGCAUAAUCAAUUGGCUUUUAAAUGGAGUCUGGAAUGAAAGGAAAUACGGGGUAUAGCUGUCUCUAAUUCUUUAUUAUGAAUUUACUAAUGAGGUGAAAAGGCCUCUAAAAGAAAAAAGACGAGAAGACCCUCAGAGUUUUUAUUUUUGUUGGGGCGACAUAGAGUCAAAAUGAACACUCUGAAUUAAAUAAGACGGGUUUAUCAUGUUUAGGCAAACUACCUGAGGGAUAACAGCAUAAUCUUUUUUGGGUUUGUGACCUCGAUGUUGGACUAGGAAGUCUGCUAGCUAGCCGCUAGUAAGAGGGAUUCUGUUCGAAUUUUAACUCCU